UGGGGAAUAUUGCACAAUGGAGGGAACUCUGAUGCAGCGACGCCGCGUGAACGAAGAAGGCUUUCGCGUCGUAAAGUUCUUUUAUAUGGGAAGAUAAUGACGGUACCAUAAGAAAAAGCCCCGGCUAACUACGUGCCAGCAGCCGCGGUAAUACGUAGGGGGCUAGCGUUGACCGGAAUCACUGGGCGUAAAGGGUUCGCAGGCGGAAAUGCAAGCCAGGUGUAAAAGGCAGUAGCUUAACUACUGUAAGCAUUUGAAACUGCAUAUCUUGAGAAGAGUAGAGGUAAGUGGAAUUUUUAGUGGAGCAGUGAAAUACGUAGAUAUUAAAAAGAAUACCGGUGGCGAAGGCGGCUUACUGGGCUCAUUCUGACGCUGAGGAACGAAAGCGUGGGUAGCAAACAGG
Molecule: ribosomal RNA, 403 nt
Filed under: bacterium
Lineage: Bacteria
Description: partial 16S ribosomal RNA
Rfam family: Bacterial small subunit ribosomal RNA
Source: RNAcentral